Molecule: ribosomal RNA, 620 nt
Filed under: uncultured bacterium
Lineage: Bacteria
Description: bacterial SSU rRNA
Rfam family: Bacterial small subunit ribosomal RNA
Source: RNAcentral
GGCGGACGGGUGAGGAACACGUGGGCAAUCUGCCCACCGGUGGGGGGUAGCCCUCGGAAACGGGGGGUAAUUCCGCAUGUGCGUGCCCAACGAGUCGGUUGGGUACGGAAAGCCUUUCGAGGCGCCGGUGGAGGAGCCUGCGACCGAUUAGCUGGUUGGGGGGGUCACGGCUUCCCAAGGCGAUGAUCGGUAGCUGGUCUGAGAGGAUGGCCAGCCACACUGGGACUGAGAUACGGCCCAGACUCAUACGGGAGGCAGCAGUGGGGAAUCUUGCGCAAUGGGCGGAAGCCUGACGCAGCGACGCCGCGUGAGGGGUGACGGCCUUCGGGUUGUAAACCUCUUUCAGCUCCGACGAAGCGGGAGUGACGGUAGGAGCAGAAGAAGCACCGGCCAACUACGUGCCAGCAGCCGCGGUAAUACGUAGGGUGCAAGCGUUGUCCGGAAUUAUUGGGCGUAAAGAGCUCGUAGGCGGUCUGUCGCGUCGGCUGUGAAAACUCGGGGCUCAACCCUGAGCUGGCAGCUGAUACGGGCAGGCUGGAGUUCGGCAGGGGAGACUGGAAUUCCUGGUGUAGCGGUGAAAUGCGCAGAUAUCAGGAGGAACACCGGUGGCGAAGGCGGGU